AUUUUGCUUCAGGACCAACCUAUGACAACGUGCUCCAUGUGACCAGGGCUAAUGUGGCUUUGAAGGGCAUAUAAAGAAAUCAUGUGAAGGUGCCUUGGGAAUGUUCCUGUCGUCACUGUCCAGUGCCUGAUGCAAAUUGUUUUCUUCACUUUGUUAUUUAAACUGCUGGCAGGUCUGCCACAACCUGCACCCCGGUUGCUGCCAUCUGCCCACACCGGCACAGUCGGCUGCAGGCUGAUGGACAGGUUUGCUCUGGAGGAGUCAGUGCUGCCAGGCCUUCCUGCAUCCCUGCAA
This is a long non-coding RNA of Lepidothrix coronata (blue-crowned manakin), 294 nucleotides long. RefSeq lists it as uncharacterized. The transcript is spliced from 3 exons. The record is from RefSeq and is a predicted model, not a curated record. Lineage: Eukaryota; Metazoa; Chordata; Aves; Passeriformes; Pipridae.